GUGGUUGGGUAACUGAGCCUUUUGGUUAGGAAAGUCCAUGCUAGCACAAUCUGUGAUGAUUGUAGUGUUUGCGCCUAGCAAAACAAUAAGCUAGGGCACCUUUUAGGUGACGGCGAUAGAAGCCUAAGUUCUUUAUGAAUAUGGUGUAUAUUGUAAAGUGCCACAGAGACGAGUCUUUUAGAAAUAGAAGGAUGAAACGAUGGUAAACCCCACAAGCUAGAAACCCAAAUUUUGGUAGGGGAGCUUAUUUUAAGCGAAUAAGAAGCUAUAAAAUGAGGCAAUUAUAAUUAUAAUUGUAGAUAAAUAGUUACCGCCUUUUUAAGGUACAAAACAUGGCUUAUAGAC
RNAcentral lists this RNase P RNA (345 nucleotides) under Anaeroplasmataceae bacterium. RNAcentral describes it as "RNase P RNA component class B". It matches the Rfam family "Bacterial RNase P class B". Rfam says of the family: Ribonuclease P (RNase P) is a ubiquitous endoribonuclease, found in archaea, bacteria and eukarya as well as chloroplasts and mitochondria. Lineage: Bacteria; Bacillati; Mycoplasmatota; Mollicutes; Anaeroplasmatales; Anaeroplasmataceae. The record is from RNAcentral.